Long non-coding RNA from Ictalurus punctatus (channel catfish), 496 nucleotides. RefSeq lists it as uncharacterized. Lineage: Eukaryota; Metazoa; Chordata; Actinopteri; Siluriformes; Ictaluridae. The record is from RefSeq and is a predicted model, not a curated record. The transcript has 2 exons.
CCACUUCCGGUAACCGAGCUGUGUGCAUCUCAUCGCUCGUUGUCCUGAACAAUUAAUUGGAUAUUUUCAUCACUUCUUCAUUAUGGCUAAUCAACGCCCUGCUGCAGCCGGACUCUCUCUCUCUCGGCUGCUCAACCCCACAGGCCUCGGUGGCCAGAGUGAAUAUAUACGUCAUCAGCUGGCUUAUUUGGCCAUCAAUGUUACAGCUCUGCUGGAACGUCUCUGAUCCUCACCUGCACCUACCAGGCCUCCCUAUUCCCCUGCCUAGCGGAUCAUUCCAUCGGUGACCUAUUUUCAUGCUUCACUCAAACUGAAGCUCAAUUUCUUCCUGUAACUUCUGUGGAGGGCCUGUUUAUCAUUUUCUUUGAUGAUGAUAUUAACUUUGCUACAAACACAUCAUAUGACCUCUCACCUACAAAUUAUUCACCUAUAAGCCCUAUUCCCUCCCCAGAAUAUGUGUAUGAUAGUGAUUCUCAGUAAACUGCAUACUCUGUUA